GUGAACGCCGGCGGUAGGCCUAACACAUGCAAGUCGAACGGCAGCACAGUAAGAGCUUGCUCUUCCGGGUGGCGAGUGGCGGACGGGUGAGGAAUACAUCGGAAUCUACUUUUUCGUGGGGGAUAACGUAGGGAAACUUACGCUAAUACCGCAUACGACCUACGGGUGAAAGCAGGGGAUCUUCGGACCUUGCGCGAUUGAAUGAGCCGAUGUCGGAUUAGCUAGUUGGCGGGGUAAAGGCCCACCAAGGCGACGAUCCGUAGCUGGUCUGAGAGGAUGAGCAGCCACACUGGAACUGAGACACGGUCCAGACUCCUACGGGAGGCAGCAGUGGGGAAUAUUGGACAAUGGGCGCAAGCCUGAUCCAGCCAUACCGCGUGGGUGAAGAAGGCCUUCGGGUUGUAAAGCCCUUUUGUUGGGAAAGAAAAGCAGCAGGUUAAUACCCCGCUGUUCUGACGGUACCCAAAGAAUAAGCACCGGCUAACUUCGUG
RNAcentral lists this ribosomal RNA (491 nucleotides) under uncultured bacterium. RNAcentral's name for it is "partial 16S ribosomal RNA". It matches the Rfam family "Bacterial small subunit ribosomal RNA", at positions 29 to 507 of the family's 1533-position model. The record is from RNAcentral.